Molecule: non-coding RNA, 855 nt
Organism: Chrysemys picta bellii (western painted turtle)
Lineage: Eukaryota; Metazoa; Chordata; Testudines; Emydidae
Source: RefSeq, a predicted model, not a curated record
UCACAACAUAAAUAACCUGCUGAUGAAACUCCACAGGAACAAGUCACCAACAUUUCACAGGCUGAACUGUAUUCCUCUCCACAAGCCCAGAUACAUAGAAUGUCAGGGUCACUUUCCGAGCCGUUCCCUGGCUUAGAACUAGGGGCUGAACUAAACCAAAAUGUUGCUCAGCCUGUAUCUCUGCUAUAGUGAAGGACAGGGAAAUUGUCAGUGGUACUAACACAGGCUGUGCCCUAAUAUUGUUCAUUUUCCAUAGGACCUGGGUACCAAAAGUUCUCUAUUAAGGACACUGUUGACUCUUUGAUCAAGUACCAGGCAGUGUAUUAAGGACACAGUCAGACACCCUCAUGUCUGAGCUCCGGUUUGGGGAUUUCAAGUCUGGGUUUAUCAGCCCCUUACUGAGACCAGGUAUACAAAUAGGGUUACUUAGCUCCCUUCUAAACCUUGCCCUUCCCUUCCUACCCUGCAGUUCUGACACUGAGAAGCCAGAACCUUUUGAGGCCGGGCAGUGAAAGAGUUAACUCCCGAGAACCCCGGAGACAAUCAGAGACAUGAGAUGUUGGCUCCAUUUCUUCCACACUCUCACCGUGCUCAGAGGUGCCCUGUCCAAGGUCCAGCUGGUGGAGUCAGAGACUCCAAAGCGCCGAGACUCUCUCCGCCUCUCCUGCCAAGCCUCUGGGUUCACCUGCAGCAGCUCCUGGCUGGGUUGGGUCCCCCGAAAGGGCAUUGGAUGGGGCAUGUCAGGUUUCCACAGACAGCUCUGAAAGCGGCACAGAUUCCGCCAAUUCAGUGAAAGGGGAUUUACCAUCUCCAGGGGAACCACUGAGACCUGCUGUAUUCGCACAGGAACAGCUU